RNAcentral lists this ribosomal RNA (379 nucleotides) under uncultured eukaryote. RNAcentral describes it as "partial 18S ribosomal RNA". It matches the Rfam family "Eukaryotic small subunit ribosomal RNA", at positions 592 to 976 of the family's 1831-position model. The record is from RNAcentral.
CAAUAGCGUAUAUUUAAGUUGUUGCAGUUAAAAAGCUCGUAGUUGGAUUUCGGGUAGGAUUUGCCGGUCCGUCUUUGAGAUGUGUACUGGUAAGUCCUAUCUUCUUGUCGGGGACCAGCUCCUGGGCUUCACUGUCCGGGACUGGGAGCCGACGAAGUUACUUUGAGUAAAUUAGAGUGUUCAAAGCAAGCCUACGCUCUGAAUAUAUUAGCAUGGAAUAACACGAUAGGACUCUGGCUUAUCUUGUUGGUCUGUGAGACCAGAGUAAUGAUUAAGAGGGACAGUCGGGGACAUUCGUAUUUCAUGGUCAGAGGUGAAAUUCUUGGAUUUAUGAAAGACGAACUUCUGCGAAAGCAUUUGUCAAGGAUGUUUUCAUUAA